GGGCACUUCCUGUGUCAUGGCGCUAGAGUGUAACCUGUGAGUGCGUUCCAGAGAGGACCCAGCUGAUUAGAUCGCCUUUUUCUGUAACUUCUACUGGCAGCGAGCUACAUUGGAAGGAUCCUGGGAGACCUUCAAGCCACGCAAUGGAAGGACCUGGGACAACCAGCAAGUUGAAGAAUAUAAAAAUUGCUCAAGAAAUCUAAGUAAUAAAGAGGUAGCAAUAUGGUAUCAAGACAAACCUUGGACUCAACAUGAAAAAAUAUUCCUUUGGACCCCAGAUGCUGAUGUGAACAUGCAACAAGGUACUUUAAAGCCAGCUGAAAGCCUUGCUUGUCGAAAGCCUCUGAUUGAGCAUUUAUCACUAAAUGUGCCCAUUUUACCUCACAAUGAACUAAAGCCACAUGAGUAUUUGGGAUUUGAUGAAAAGCUGAGUAAAUGUAAUGAACAUGCAAAAACCUGCAGUGAUCUCCAAUCCUUUCAAAAGCAUGCAAGGACAAAGACUGGAGAAACACCCUAUCAACAUGAGCAAUGUGGAAAAGCCUACUCUGAACAUAGUAAAAAAACUCACCCUGGAGAGAAGACCAUAGUAGCCUUCCCUCCACCCCCACUCCCCUUGUUGAACCGUUUUUAUCAACUACAUGAAAGAAGUCACACUGGGGAGAAACCCUGUAUGUAA
This 676-nucleotide long non-coding RNA is filed under the name Chinchilla lanigera (long-tailed chinchilla). RNAcentral's name for it is "lncRNA (ENSCLAG00000027328.1)". The record is from RNAcentral. Lineage: Eukaryota; Metazoa; Chordata; Mammalia; Rodentia; Chinchillidae.